CUCGGGGGUGUGGAAAUCAAUUUUUUUUUCUACUUGUCCACAGACAAGUAAACUUAGAAAAUCCACUUGUCCGCCAGUUAAAUUCACUUGCCCAUAAACAAAUAACAAAAGUGAAAAAUAGUUUAUUUUUUCUGAUCUCUUUUAUUGAUACCAAAACUGCCUUCCAUUUUAAAACUGAAGAAAGUUCUUUCAUGGAGUAGGAUUUUGCCACCUUGCUCUAGAACAUUAUAUAAAAGAUUCCCUUAUCAUUUAAACUCACUAAUAAACAAUGCCUUCAUUAUAGCUACACUAGUUCUGUUUCACAUAUUACAGUUACAUAACAGAACACUGUCCUGAUUCAUUUUCUGCCAUGUUCUUCAGCUUUUGUCUUACAACAUCUUCUCCCCCAAGAAUCUUUACCAUCUCAGACAGCAUGGGCUGAAUGCUGUUCAUUUCUGCUUGAGCUGAACUGCAUGGUUCCUGGACUGAUCGUCCUGCAGAAUAAAUAUUACCGAUGUUGUCGGGAAAAAAUAAUCGCGUCUAAGUGAAGAUUUUUAUAGAUAUUUCAUAACAUUUGGAAAACGUUUGAAUGUUUUCUUCUUUAUUU
This is a long non-coding RNA of Erpetoichthys calabaricus (reedfish), 586 nucleotides long. RefSeq lists it as uncharacterized. The transcript has 2 exons. The record is from RefSeq and is a predicted model, not a curated record. Lineage: Eukaryota; Metazoa; Chordata; Cladistia; Polypteriformes; Polypteridae.